Small nucleolar RNA from Jaculus jaculus (lesser Egyptian jerboa), 131 nucleotides. NCBI's taxonomy places the organism in Eukaryota, Metazoa, Chordata, Mammalia, Rodentia, Dipodidae. The record is from Ensembl.
GAACUGGUCAACUAAUCUGCUUACCUCAAUGUGUUUCUCCAGAAAUUUAGAAAAAGCUGGCAAUAGUGAUGCCACGUUAUGAGGCUUAAAGACAACUGAGGUCACUAAGGUCUCUGAAAAUGGCCACAAUA